UAAGUGCAAGAUACAUUCCAUUUCUGUUCUG
This 31-nucleotide non-coding RNA is filed under the name Mus musculus (house mouse). The record is from RNAcentral. Lineage: Eukaryota; Metazoa; Chordata; Mammalia; Rodentia; Muridae.